This 492-nucleotide ribosomal RNA is filed under the name uncultured bacterium. Its description in RNAcentral is "partial 16S ribosomal RNA". It matches the Rfam family "Bacterial small subunit ribosomal RNA", at positions 29 to 507 of the family's 1533-position model. The record is from RNAcentral.
AGUGAACGCUGGCGGUAGGCCUAACACAUGCAAGUCGAACGGCAGCACAGUAAGAGCUUGCUCUUACGGGUGGCGAGUGGCGGACGGGUGAGGAAUACAUCGGAAUCUACUUUUUCGUGGGGGAUAACGUAGGGAGACUUACGCUAAUACCGCAUACGACCUACGGGUGAAAGCAGGGGAUCUUCGGACCUUGCGCGAUUGAAUGAGCCGAUGUCGGAUUAGCUAGUUGGCGGGGUAAAGGCCCACCAAGGCGACGAUCCGUAGCUGGUCUGAGAGGAUGAUCAGCCACACUGGAACUGAGACACGGUCCAGACUCCUACGGGAGGCAGCAGUGGGGAAUAUUGGACAAAGGGCGCAAGCCUGAUCCAGCCAUACCGCGUGGGUGAAGAAGGCCUUCGGGUUGUAAAGCCCUUUUGUUGGGAAAGAAAAGCAGCAGGUUAAUACCCCGCUGUUCUGACGGUACCCAAAGAAUAAGCACCGGCUAACUUCGUG